Molecule: non-coding RNA, 3427 nt
Organism: Bactrocera oleae (olive fruit fly)
Lineage: Eukaryota; Metazoa; Arthropoda; Insecta; Diptera; Tephritidae
Source: RefSeq, a predicted model, not a curated record
AAUAUACUCAUUGAAAGCUUUGCGGUUUUUCUUUAAAGUCUACUUAACACCGCUUGUAUAUUGGAAAAAUAUUCUCUACUUAAAUAUAUUUUUUAUUCUUCAAUGCACGUGACCUGCUUAUGUAUCAAAUAUUGAAUAAUCGUGAAAAUAAAAGAUUGAAGAGACGUUUUGAAGCAGACGGAUGAACUCUAGAAAUCCAUCAUUGUGUUAUAUAAUGGGGUAUACCUCCAAAUUAACGUGGUACUAUGACAAUGAGAAGAAUGAACGAUUUCGUUGCAAAAUUAUUGGUGAAGCAUGUUUUUCUCUCGCCAGUCAGAUUAAUAAGUCCAUAAGAAGUCGAAGCUUAUGUGUCUUCUUGGGUUGAUAGUUUCGUGUUUAUUUUGAAGGGCUUCACUUUGUUAACGCCGUUCGGCAGAAGGCGAAUUCUACAGAGGGAUGAUCUGGUAUUUGGAACUUGAAUGCUUGUGUUUGAAAAUAUAAUAUUUGUGUUUCAGCAGGAAACCGUCCCUUUGGUUCUGGGAAACUGUGUUAACCAGCAGCUGCAUAACCAACCAGAUUAACCAAAACUCAAUGUCUUAAAGAGAAGUGGGAUAUACCUUUUGGUUGAUAAUUCUGACAACUAACUAACGUUUUCUUUACCAAAGUGAAAUAAAUUAUGUAUAACAAAAAAUUUUUCAUAUAACCAAAAUUUUCUACAACACAAAAUAUCACUACUAACAUUUUGGCCACGGAGAGAUAAGACAUAAACGCAGCAUUACAUUUAUUAGAUUUAACAACAAUGUUAAAUUUUUCUAAGUUUUCCAUACAAUGAGGAUAAAAUCGGCAGUUCUCUAAUCCGGGAAUACGAAAAUAGUACAAAUGACAAAUAAUCAAUAGCUAUUGCGAUCGCUUUGUUGCUCAGCGGCUCCAUAGGAGGUCACCAAGUGUGGCUUUGCGUUUUCAAUAUAGUGAUAAUAUGUACAACUACAAAGAUACGACAUGUACUACCUCCACCGCAGGCAAGUAAUUGACAUGUACUCUUACCUCUGUUUGUAAGGCAAUAACGGUAUAUCUACAGUAGUGAUAUAAAAUAACUCUGCCUUCGCAUCCUUCUGUAUCAAUUGUCACUCGCUAAAUUUUGACUCGCUACAUCAGCCUUUUGCAGCGCUAAAAAAUCGUAAGUUCGCUGGCCCAGUGUUUCUUGAAAUUAAUGUACUGGAAAUUGUCCAUUCAGCGCUUCGCAAUUGAAUUCAUUUGCAGUAAACACUUCUUAGCUAUUUGCUGUCUUAACACGUACAAUGUUCUGUCCACCACCGAAAACUUUAUUUUCACUUUUGUACUUAUUUCUUAUCAAUGAGCUCAUUGUAGUAUGAGGAAGUCCUUCUGUUUUCACAACCUAUCAUUGCUUUACUUUUUGAACUUUGUAAAAUUUGUGACAAAAGGUAUGCACACAGUAACAAUUCUUCCUUAACUCGUAAAGUGAAUUGACACAAAAUAAGGUCGAUAACUUUUCUCUACGCUUACAAAUUUAUUUCUCAAUUUUAAAUUUCCCAAUUUAUCAUCAGAACUAACGCAAUCUUUCAUUUUUGAGAACAAGGCGAAACUAGUACGUUUGGAGUAAGGGUUAGUCAUGCAGGAACAAGCGAUUCUUUCGAGACACCAUAAGGGAAUGCCCUUGAUAGCACCUACCCUUGAAUACAUUGCUUUAAGGAUUCCAAAUUGCGGUUCAGCAUUUAAAUACUUGACGAAGGUACUUUUAGGCAAUUUUUCUUCCGUUAUUUUCUAAUAGGUUAUCGUUGAUUCCCUCCCUGAGAAGAAAGCUCACUGAAUGCCCACAAACAUACAAAAAAUGCAAAACCAUGGGGUGCGCCAAUGAGUCAAAAUAGCAAAAGAAUUUUGCUGUCAAACAUUUGCAAUUUAUGCUUGCCUACACGAAACCUCAAGCACCCCUAGCAAGGAAUUGUGGAAAUUAAAUCAGUGAAUGAAUGCAAAAUGCUGAAUAAUGGAAUGCCGUUGUAGCAUUCCUGAAAUUCCAAUGCAAUGAUAGAGUAUGAAUGGCAGUUUCCUAGAAUUUGUUAUUAUCAAUAUGUCUAAUUUUGGUUUAACCUUUUCUCCGAACUCAAGUAUUUGUAACUUCCCUUAAAUUUGGUAUCACAUGAACAAGAUGAGAGAAAACGAUUGUAGACAAAGGUAAUAACAAUGCCGUGACAAAUCAAAAAAUGUAAUAAUAUGCGAAAGAAAGAGCGAGUAAGGGAAUGCUAGUCCCGGCUGAAACUGAACAAUGAAAAUCUUUCAAACUUAAAUAAUGUGUUUAUUGUAUAUUCUCUCUUUUCAGUGAACUAUUACUGUAUUAAGUUGUCGAGGUUAGGAAUCCAAGCCAACUGAUUCAGAGUGAUCCACACAUGCCCAUAGCUUUUUGAUCUAGAUUAAUCCAAGAAGCCGAAAUCAUCACUAUUCAUUUAUGCAAAGUCAACGGAUAGACUAUUUUCAAACUUUGUUCGUAAGUUAUUCCCACAGCUUCAAAGAGGUGGUAUCUUGGUUAAGAACUUAAGCCCGCCUAUAACGGUGCAAAAUAGAUUUGUAUGUAACAAGCUAUAAAUUGACAAAAGAAAUGUUCAUGUACACUUGACUUCACGAAGUGAAUCUCAGCAAAGGGAUGAACAAACAAAUAUUAUGAACACAUAUGCACAUGAUUUAUACUGUUGCGGAAGUUGUCAACAUUCACGCAUUUACCCAAUAAACAGAAAUCAAUAGACCUUACGCAUUCGAGACAAAAUAGGCAAAAUGAAUUUCUCAAAUAGUAUAUUAUACAUAUAUAUGUUACAUAUAUUUGGGGUUGAAGUUCAAAUAGAAAGUAAGUGGCUCUGAGGGUAAAUGGGCGCUUAGCCUAAUUGAUAAGACGUGUAGGGGCCUGGUCAUCCUGGUCAAAACAGAAUCGUCGAAAGCUUGCAAAACUGAGGAGUUUGCAAAGAGUUCACAAUUUCAUGAGACAGGGAGUUUAUCGCGCUGGUUAACCACCAGCGAAGUCCCUCCGGCCCAGUGUAGUUCACAAGAGGUCCAUUGAACAGCUUGCUCAUAAUGCUCAUAUUUCAUUAAUUUUCAUUUUGUGAAAGUUUCUUUGUUCUAACGGGUCACUGUGCAAUCGGCAUCUCUAUGAAGUGGUUAAACAUUUUACCGCACACCAAGGGUCAUAAUAUCUUGUUAAAAGGCAAAUUAGAAGCUUCUGAACUGUACUAAAUCCGUAAGAUUAAGAUUGAAAUAUACUGGAUCUCAUGCCUUUAGUUAUUCAGGGGCAUCAGCUGGAAUCGAGAUUAGUCACCUCAAGAAUUUGUGAAAGAUCCGAGGCUGUUGUGGAUAUUCGAGGCUUUUGGUUCAUCAACAACUGUCCAAAUGUUAUCUCCAUGACGUCUGACUUUUUAGCCUCAAAUCCUAACCUAAUGCAGCAGCG